UACAGAGGGUGCAACCGUUGCUCGGAAUCAUUGGGCGUAAAGCGCACGUAGGCGGUCCAGCAAGCGGGGAGUGAAAGCCCUCGGCUUAACCGAGGAAGUGCUUUCCGAACUACUGGGCUUGAGUACGCAAGGGGGUCGCGGAAUUCCCGGUGUAGAGGUGAAAUUCGUAGAUAUCGGGAGGAACACCAGUGGCGAAGGCGGCGACCUGGGGCGAUACUGACGCUGAGGUGCGAAAGCGUGGGGAGCAAACAGG
Molecule: ribosomal RNA, 253 nt
Filed under: uncultured bacterium
Lineage: Bacteria
Description: partial 16S ribosomal RNA
Rfam family: Bacterial small subunit ribosomal RNA
Source: RNAcentral